This 465-nucleotide ribosomal RNA is filed under the name uncultured bacterium. Its description in RNAcentral is "partial 16S ribosomal RNA". It matches the Rfam family "Bacterial small subunit ribosomal RNA", at positions 28 to 507 of the family's 1533-position model. The record is from RNAcentral.
GACGAACGCUGGCGGCGUGCUUAACACAUGCAAGUCGUACGGUAAGGCCCUUUCGGGGGUACACGAGUGGCGAACGGGUGAGUAACACGUGAGUAACCUGCCCACAACUUUGGGAUAACGCUAGGAAACUGGUGCUAAUACUGGAUAUGUGCUCCUGCUGCAUGGUGGGGGUUGGAAAGCUCCGGCGGUUGUGGAUGGACUCGCGGCCUAUCAGCUUGUUGGUGGGGUAGUGGCCUACCAAGGCGGCGACGGGUAGCCGGCCUGAGAGGGUGACCGGCCACAUUGGGACUGAGAUACGGCCCAGACUCCCACGGGAGGCAGCAGUGGGGAAUAUUGCACAAUGGGCGCAAGCCUGAUGCAGCAACGCCGCGGGCGGGAUGACGGCCUUCGGGUUGUAAACCGCUUUCAGCAGGGACGAAGCUUUUUGUGACGGUACCUGCAGAAGAAGCACCGGCUAACUACGUG